This is an RNA transcript of Hemibagrus wyckioides, 3254 nucleotides long. It is a transcript of the gene named insulin gene enhancer protein ISL-1-like, with no coding region annotated. The record is from RefSeq and is a predicted model, not a curated record. NCBI's taxonomy places the organism in Eukaryota, Metazoa, Chordata, Actinopteri, Siluriformes, Bagridae. The transcript has 6 exons.
GAGGUGCAACACGGCUUCUAACACUACACCUGUUAGAUUUUAGAGGAGCAAAAAAAACUGAAUGAGUGUAGUACAUUUGAUCAGCUGUGUCCCAGCCAAUCGGUCUUCUCAGAGGUAGGACGAUGCAGCAUCGCGUCCAUAGAAAAGCGAGUGGGACUCAGAGGGGCUCAGUGUAGCAGGCAAGCGGUGCGUGGACUAAAAAGAGCAGUUGUGAAGAUGCUGAGAGGUGAUUCCUGAUUGGAAGAGAUACACUAAUAUUUACUUGAACAAUGGAAGAGCCAGAAAAAGAAGAAAAAGGCUUCCCCUCGUUCUGUGUUGGCUGUGGGCUCGUGAUCCGUGACCGCUUCGUGUUGAGUGUGUUUCCUGACCUGCUCUGGCACGUGGCGUGUCUUAAGUGUGCGGAGUGUCAACAAAACCUUGAAGAGUCUCACACCUGCUUCAUUAAAGACGGAAAGACCCUGUGUAAAGACGAUUAUAGCAGAUUAUACGCCAGCAAAUGUGCAAAAUGUCUGAAGUCCUUCAGCAGUCACGAUUACGUCAUGCGUGCAGGAGUUAACGUCUAUCACGUGCAGUGUUUCCGCUGUGAGCGCUGCGAUCGCCAGCUGCAGCCUGGAGAUGAGUUUACCAUCCGAGACGGCUUCCUGUACUGCACUGGUCAUGAAAACUCCAGCCAUGGAUUAAUAACGCUUACGCGUAACUCAGUACAUGUGACUGAGCUGGACAGAUGUGAUGAAGGAGCAGAUUUUUGUAUAUUUCAUGCAGACACUUCCUGGUCAGGUGGAGAAGGUGACGCUGGAUGGCUGGCUGCACCCAUGAAGCCCGAGAAGACUGUACGUGUGAGGACGGCGCUCAGCAAGUCUCAGCUCCACGUGCUGCUCACAUGCUACAGCGUGAACCCGCGACCGGAUGCUAGUCUCAAAGAACGGCUGAUGGAGAUGACGGGUUUGAGUUCGAGGGUCAUCCGCAUCUGGUUCCAGAACAAGCGAUGCAAAGACAAGAAGAAGGGCAUGUUGGAGAGAGAGACGAAGCAUGAGAGUGGAGAACAGAUCGAUACGAUGGACGAGCCGGUGUCCACUGUCACUGCUGAGAACCUGGACAUAGACACAUUGAUGCACCCACUGGACCUGCAGACUCUGCAGCAAUCCUGGAAACUCCUGACGAGUCUCUUGAGUUCAGACAUUGAUGAGACGCUCUAUCAGGAAGCUGUGACUCUCGAUCAGCCCUAAUGUUCGCUGCAAAGUAGUGAACACUACCGGAGAGAUUAGCUGCUUUAUUGUAGGGGUUCUGAGGUCAAUCGUAUCAAUCGUUUAGUUUCGUAGGGUCAGUCCAGUCAGAUUUACUUUGUACUCAGUGUGCAUACAGUAUGUUGAUUAAUCUUUUAAUGAUGUGGCAUGUUAGCUUAGCUGAUGUGGUCUACAUUUAGCGAUGCUCACAAACCCGCAUAAAAGACCGAAAGAAAGAGUUGGCGUAAAGAAAUGACAAUUAAAUGGUAAUUAUAUGACAAAUAAAAGAGUAGUUAUAGCAAUUUUCUCAAUUUAAGGAAAUAUUUUGCACUGCUUUCUUCCUAAAAACAACGUUUUCUUUGCUAAAUAAAUGUAACCCACAUAGAAAAGUACUAAUAAAAUUUCUAAUAAAAUUAUUUGACGUCCGUCAAUUAGAGUUCACAUUAGUGAAUUAGAUUUUGUUUAAGUUUACACAAUUUACAUCAACUCAGGAGACCUUGAAUAUGAACGGAGACGAACAUGUCCUUUAAACUAACUGGAUUUUCAUGUAGAAUUACACAAACUCGCAGGGUUGGAUGCAAGUACAGAGAUGUUUGAUGACACACAGGGAGUGAUCACACUGAACAGACAGGAACCUGAGUGAAGCAAACAGAAGUGGAGACAGUCACACAAAAAAAGGUCACGAAAUUUUGAACACUCAAAAGUAAUGGGACUAAAAAGAACACAUACGAACGAAAUGAACAAAUCGUGAGCCAAACUCAUGAGUCAGAACUGCCAAAAGUCGAUCGAGCAGAGCCAUAAAGAGAAAACAGGAUCGGAAAACUGGAAAAACAGGACAAGAUCAGAAACCGUGAAUAAAGAGCGAUCAAACAAAUGGCUCAGUACCUCCCAGUGAACAAAAGAACACACAAUGCUUAAAAAGGGUGAGUUCCAGUCAAACACAGUGGGGAAUAGGUGAACAUGAUUCCUGAGAGGUCCGGUUGACUGAGACUGAGUGCUGGUGGCUGCUGGGAGUCCGUGGAGACCAUGAAUCAGUGUUCGGCUCGGACCCUUAGUUCCAGUGAAAGGAACUCUUAAUGUUUCAGCUUCAUACCAAAACUUUUUGGACAAUUUCAUGCUCCCAACUUUGUGUGAACAGUUUGAGGAUGACUCCUUCCUGUUCCAACAUGACUGCACACCAGUGCACAAAGCAAGGUCCAUAAAGACAUGGAUGAGUGAGUUUGGUGUGGAGGAACUUCACAGAGUCCUGACCUCAACCUGAUAGAACACCUUUGAGAUGAAUUAGAGCGGAGACUGAGAGCCAGGCCUUCUCGUCCAACAUCAGUGCCUGACCUCACAAAUGCGCUUCUAGAGGAAUGGUCAAAAAUUCCCAUAAACACACUCCUAAACCUUGUGGAAAGCCUUCCCAGAAGAGUUGAAGGUGUUAUAGCUGCAAAGGGCGGGACAACUCCAUAUUAUGUUCAUGUGCAUGUAAAGGCAGGGGUUGCAAAACGUUUGGCAAUAUAGCGUAACAUAAUCUUUAGUAGAGUCGAUAAAGUUUUUGUGUAAUUAUUCUAUAAUGAAAUACUGAUUUAUAUGGAAGAUCAUCGAAAACUUUAAACGCUUUGGUUUGUGGUUGAACAAGCUUAUUUUGGAUCUUAUAUGAUAGGGUGUGAGCAGACAUAAUGGUGGUCCAGUUGCAGGAUCCUGUGCCCUAAUUGCUGUGGCCACGGGUGCAAGUCCAGGGCAGGAAGCUAACCCAGCAAGUGAAGCAUUUUACUCUUAGUGCCUAAGCCUGGAUAAAAUGUGAGAAUUCUUUCAGGAAGAGCAUCUGGAGUUAAACCUGUGCCAAACCAAAAAUAUGUGGCCCAAAUGAUCUGCUGUGGUGACCCCGAACAGGGAGGAGCUAAAAGAAGAACAACAACAUGAUUAUGAUAUGAUUGGCUUUAAGUGUUUCUUAAGUGUUUGGAGAUGAGACAGAUUGGUGAAGAUUCCUACUGGUAAUCCAGACUGUAUGAAGAGUUUUGGGGAAAAAAUGGCCUCAUUAUUGAG